This 710-nucleotide ribosomal RNA is filed under the name alpha proteobacterium SCGC AAA160-A09. Its description in RNAcentral is "bacterial SSU rRNA". It matches the Rfam family "Bacterial small subunit ribosomal RNA", at positions 89 to 833 of the family's 1533-position model. The record is from RNAcentral. Lineage: Bacteria; Pseudomonadati; Pseudomonadota; Alphaproteobacteria. RNAcentral also lists the same sequence under 1 other name.
UACUUAGUGGCAGACGGGUGAGUAACAUGUAGGUAUCUGCCCUUUGGCCUGGAAUAACACGAGGAAACUUGUGCUAAUACCGGAUAAGUCUUUACGGAGAAAGCUUUAUGCACCAUUGGAUGAGCCUGCACUUGAUUAGUUUGUUGGUGGGGUAAUGGCCUACCAAGACUGUGAUCAAUAGCUGAUUUGAGAGGAUGAUCAGCCACAUUGGGACUGAGACACGGCCCAAACUCCUACGGGAGGCAGCAGUGGGGAAUCUUGCACAAUGGAGGAAACUCUGAUGCAGCGAUGCCGCGUGAGUGAAGAAGGCCUUUGGGUUGUAAAGCUCUUUCGUCGGGGAAGAAAAUGACUGUACCCGAAUAAGAAGGUCCGGCUAACUUCGUGCCAGCAGCCGCGGUAAUACGAAGGGACCUAGCGUAGUUCGGAAUUACUGGGCUUAAAGAGUUCGUAGGUGGUUGAAAAAGUUAGUGGUGAAAUCCCAGAGCUUAACUCUGGAACUGCCAUUAAAACUUUUCAGCUAGAGUAUGAUAGAGGAAAGCAGAAUUUCUAGUGUAGAGGUGAAAUUCGUAGAUAUUAGAAAGAAUACCAAUUGCGAAGGCAGCUUUCUGGAUCAUUACUGACACUGAGGAACGAAAGCAUGGGUAGCGAAGAGGAUUAGAUACCCUCGUAGUCCAUGCCGUAAACGAUGUGUGUUAGACGUUGGAAAUUUA